Long non-coding RNA from Sapajus apella (tufted capuchin), 1577 nucleotides. RefSeq lists it as uncharacterized. The record is from RefSeq and is a predicted model, not a curated record. The transcript is spliced from 2 exons. Lineage: Eukaryota; Metazoa; Chordata; Mammalia; Primates; Cebidae.
AGAUUUACCGUGUGCCUACUCUAUAAAUGGCAAAGACCAGCUAGGGUGCAUGUUUCAAUGAGCUUAGUUCAGGAAGAGAAAGAAAAUACCUGCAUCGAUCACUACAGUACAGCAUAGUAUAUAUAACUGCCCCUGGAGACAAGGGAAUUUUCAGUCAUUGUUUAGGCUGCGGAGGUGGUAAAAGGCAGCAGAAAGGAAGGAGGAAAAGGCACGUCCUAGAAAUGAUAACUAGGGCAGCUGGAUGGAAAAGUCAAGUGCGUGGCAAGGAGUAAUGAGCACUGUGGACAAAAUUAUUUCACAGCACAUGGUUGAGAACUCUUGAAUGCUAGGCUGAGACAUGUGAGGCCACAGAAAGGUUUUCAACAAGACAGAAGCAUAAGCAAAGUGGAACUUCAGGAUCGCGUAGAGGAUGGAUUAGAGAGGGUGACUGAGACUGGAACUCAGUGACAGGCGGCAGGCUGAGGUUCAGAGUCUAAGCCAGAACAAGGGCUGAGGUGGGAAUAAAAAGGAAUGGACAGAAAUGGAAGAGAUAAAGAUGACAGAGACCCACUGAUGGCUGCAGGGGACAAGAUGACUGCACCCGGGCGAGUUGAGCAGAGGAGACUGCAGUGAGCCCUGGCAUGGCUGAGGAGGACCAGGGAUGCAGCAGCUGCCGAGAGAGGGGGAGUACAAAGUUCAAGAUGAAAAAUCAUUCACCGGAGGAUACUAUCAAGGAAAAUGUAACAAUAUUCAACAUCAUGAUCAGAAAAAUUCACCAACUUCCAGAGGCAGAGAGGAAUCUGCUUGAACAUGGAUCGAUGUGCAUCGGACUUAAUGCUGCCUUCUGUGGCCUAGUAGCACACAGUCUUUUCGGACACAUCUUAAAGGUGGCACAGGCUCAGCAACAGCAGUGACCCCAUUUGACUGUGCACAUGCCUCACGAGGGGGUUGUGAGUUUGCCUUUGCAGACAGGUGAUGUGCAUUGUGAAACCUGUCCCAUUACAAGGCAUGGAUUAGCUGGUCUUAUCUCUGGUGGUCUCUACUGUUGUUUUCUGGGCUAAAUGGGCGAAUGGCGGCCUUGCAGCCAGGUAGGACUCAGCCCUGCUACCAGAGAAAGGAAAUGAUUCACUGGAUUAGAAUUUCUACAACUGUCUUUAUAAAGACGUUAAUUCCCAUUUUGCUUCAGACUGUGUCUGCAGCAAAUGUUGGGUCUAGACAACUGCUUAUAAAGGGCCUUCAACUGCCAAAUUCACUGAUUUCAAGCAAACGUGUAUACACACACACACACAAUGGUAAAAAUAGCCUAUCUCUAAUGUAUGAAUAAAUACAGACUUGUAGUCAUGUAAGUUACAACUCUGGGACCUAAAUCAAAAGGCUACACGGAGCAACAAAAAGCUGAAUCCCAGUAAUGGCUACUCUUUCAAACAAGAGCAUAAUUUCACCAGUUUGCCCAAUAUUGUCUCUUCCCCUCACUUAUUCCACUCUACAUUAGAUGUUGAGUUUGGUCUGUAACACAAGAGGGAAAAAUAACCAUACAGCAAUUUUCACUGAUGAUUCUGUAAAGAAGCCAAACAGAAAUGAAAAUGUAAAAAAAAAAA